Gadus morhua (Atlantic cod) is the source of this 1832-nucleotide long non-coding RNA. The record is from Ensembl. NCBI's taxonomy places the organism in Eukaryota, Metazoa, Chordata, Actinopteri, Gadiformes, Gadidae.
GGGUUCAAGUUCGAAAUAAGCACAAAAAUAUAAUUCCAUAAGCUUUAGUGAAUAAGUAUUCCUUAUGCAUGAGAAUUUGGACUUUUUGAAGCUUCACAUAAAUUCGCGUCACUUGGGAGUCGAACCCGCGCAGAAAUUCAAGACUGACGCGCUACCUCCACUCUAGCACUCAGUCACGGAGACACAAUGCGCAACAGUAAGCAUUGUCUACAUAAGGUCCAAAAGGACGAUCAAAUAACGAACACCCUCUGAUCUGUAUCUCUCAUGGAGAACCCCAAUUUCGUUGUUUGCACAAUGACAAUAAAGUCUGAAAUCUGAAUAUCGUCGGACAAUGCCAAGGGAUCGGUUCUGUCUGAGAAGCCCCUGACUGCAGCCCGCAGACGGAGUCCACAUGGAGGGGGCCGGCACUCCGCCCACAUGGAGGGGGCGGAUACUCAUGCUGCGUUCGAGUAUUCACUGCGAACCGACUCGGAUCUCGGAUCUGACGCCACGCCCGUCCACAUCGAGGGGGCGGCCACUCAGUUCACAUUGAGGACUGGUCAAACAGCAUUUCUGAUCCCGUUUCUGACCUGAAAUUAGCUGAAAUGUACCUGAAAUUACCUGAAAUUAGAGUGUGCCCGCCCGAGCGAGUGAUGCCUAAAACAUGCAAAGACACGUCAGUGUAAUUGUGAAUGGCGAGAGCCCUGAAAUACAGCUGGACAGCAGCGGUCUACAUCACUGCCCCUUCUGCAGAUACAAAGGGUCAAAAUGUGAUAUCGACCAUCACAUUAAAUGCCAUGCCUCGGUUAAAUACAGAGGUCUGCAGAGGAGCUUUCAGGAAGCAGGAAGAGAAGACGGGAGGAAAAAAAGCUACAGGUUAAAGAUCUCUGCACAAAAAGGGCUAGAGUUGCUCCAACAGCAUCCAGCUCUGAAGGAUCAGGUCAUGUAUAGACUGUUAAUCCAGGAAGAUUAUGUUGUCCUGAAGGACACAAUUCAGGCAGCAGCAUGGUGCCAGUUACAGUCCUUCAAGGACAGCGUUUCUCUCCCAGAGGUCAUUGGGAUGGAAGGUUGGGAGCAGAUGGCAGCAUCAACACAGCGCAAAUCCCAUGACGGCGGGGAUGAGGAAGAAACGUGGAAACCAUUCCAAUUCUCAUUCAGAUUACAUACUGACUAUGAACUGUUCUGUGUGGAGAUAAUGGACAGGAAAAACCUGAAGGUGUUUGCCUCUUUUGAGUCAAGAAACCUCUCCCCCUCCCCGUCCCCCCUCCCGUCCCCCCUCCCGUCCCCCUCCCUGUGACGCCUGCGCCACACGACUCCAAUGUAGUCUGAUGAUGCAGCAUAAUGGCGGCGCUUGGUAGCUAUGGCGGCGGUGACGGCGAUGUCGGGCGACAGAGCGUGAAGCAAGAGUGGCGUCCACCUCACUGAGGAAGGCGUCAGUGUGUCCCCCCCCCCCCCCCCCCACCCGUUGAGACUUUGUUUGUUGUACUCUUUAUUGAUUUAUAUUUUAUGUUUAUAGUUUACAAUCUAUUUUUUGUAGUUAUUUUUUAAUUGUUUUGUUGAAUAAAAAGACUGUUGUUAGUGCUCCUGUGAUUGGUGUAACUUAAUGUGCUUCACACAUGUAGCUUUUCAUUAUGUCUAUUGAGGUACAUUUUUUGCCCUUAGAUGUGGUCACUUCGUUAUUCCUCAGAUUACAUCUGUUAAGGUCAUACCUUUGGGUCCCAGUCUUCAAAGUUCCCCAAAUCUUAUUUUGGCUCUUACUGGGCCUGUAACUCUCACAGACAGACGGGUACAGGAGUUCGGACACGUUGCAUUGUUUACAGGCAAGGGUGGAUUACCGCACGGGCACACCGGGC